UUUGGUGUUGGUCUUAUUUUAAUUAAGAGAUUAAUAUAAAACAGAAAAGCUGUCAAGGGUCCAUAAAACUAAUGUGGCUACAGAAAUAAAACCCAAUACGAAGCGCUGUACGCCGCCGGUUAAGGCGCCGUACUGAAAGGGGGUGAUAAGUGGCGCAGAGAUAAUGUUUUGGAUGAGACAUUUUAGCUAUUAAGAUGAGCUUUCCAGGGGGAAGCUUUUUAAGGAGGGUUUUGAUGAUGGAUGAUUGAUUGGUGGACGUGCGUGGCAGAGAGAAAUUAGUAAUUGAGACAGAUAGGAUGUGGGUUUUCAGUCUGCUGAAUUUUGAUUUGACUAUUCAGGACUCGUUAACAAAUUUCCAAAGAUACUGAAUGAGUCCAUUAUGGAUAAUAUCUGCUGUAUAAAAGCCUAGCUUGGGCCUGCAUAUCCAUCGGGAGUGGGCUUUAAAACAGAAAGCUCAAGAGUUUGCUGGGUUCGAUGAGAAUCGAGUAUUCAGGUCUUGGGCUCUUAUUAUUAUUUCUUUCUCUUUUGGGCUUUUGUGCAAAGAAUUGCAAUUAAAAAAAAAAAAUCAACGUGAAUCAAACUUGGAGAACAUAACCAAGGAGACAGAGAGUAGCUGGGUACCACGCAAGCGAGAAACUUGAGAUGAUGAUCAUGAUGGCGCCGGAGUGAGUCUGCUUCAUAUUCAUUCAAAUGCUGUUAUGUGAUGGCUUGCAGGUUCCUUUUCCACAUUCAGCUUUUCUGGAAAUACCAUCAGCAAGAGCAAAAAUUAAAAUAAAAACAAUGAAUAUCAAAGGAGAAGAGAUGGACCUCAAACCUUAAAACCUAUCAAGGCAUUGGCAAAUGAAAAUGAACAAAAACAAAGAAGGGUUCCCAAGAGAAGCAGCGCAACGAGAGCUAGCCUAAGCCAUCUCUGAAAACACACAGAGAGAGAUGGUGAGUGAAGUAGAUGCAUUUCUAAGAAUUUUGGAGGUGCUGGAUAUUGAAACUGGGGAAUGAUAGUAUCCUUUAAAAAUGGAAACUUUCUUCUGCGGGAUUUGGAUGUGGCAGUUAAAAAGGUUAACGUCACGUGUCUUCGAAACUCGCGCAUUGUUUGAACUUUGGUUUUCAU
This 1108-nucleotide long non-coding RNA is filed under the name Manihot esculenta (cassava). RNAcentral's name for it is "long non-coding RNA (MESC_LNC001892)". The record is from RNAcentral. Lineage: Eukaryota; Viridiplantae; Streptophyta; Magnoliopsida; Malpighiales; Euphorbiaceae.